GAUGAACGCUGGCGGCGUGCCUAAUACAUGCAAGUCGAGCGAACAGACGAGGAGCUUGCUCCUCUGACGUUAGCGGCGGACGGGUGAGUAACACGUGGAUAACCUACCUAUAAGACUGGGAUAACUUCGGGAAACCGGAGCUAAUACCGGAUAAUAUAUUGAACCGCAUGGUUCAAUAGUGAAAGACGGUUUUGCUGUCACUUAUAGAUAGAUCCGCGCCGCAUUAGCUAGUUGGUAAGGUAACGGCUUACCAAGGCGACGAUGCGUAGCCGACCUGAGAGGGUGAUCGGCCACACUGGAACUGAGACACGGUCCAGACUCCUACGGGAGGAAGCAGUAGGGAAUCUUCCGCAAUGGGCGAAAGCCUGACGGAGCAACGCCGCGUGAGUGAUGAAGGUCUUCGGAUCGUAAAACUCUGUUAUUAGGGAAGAACAAAUGUGUAAGUAACUAUGCACGUCUUGACGGUACCUAAUCAGAAAGCCACGGCUAACUACGUG
This 497-nucleotide ribosomal RNA is filed under the name uncultured bacterium. RNAcentral describes it as "partial 16S ribosomal RNA". It matches the Rfam family "Bacterial small subunit ribosomal RNA", at positions 28 to 507 of the family's 1533-position model. The record is from RNAcentral.